RNAcentral lists this long non-coding RNA (255 nucleotides) under Capsicum annuum. RNAcentral's name for it is "long non-coding RNA (CANN_LNC002264)". Lineage: Eukaryota; Viridiplantae; Streptophyta; Magnoliopsida; Solanales; Solanaceae. The record is from RNAcentral.
AUUCACGUUUCUAAAAUUAUCUACCUAGUCUACUUUACAAAAAGUCUCCUAAUAAGACCAAAAUUAUUAAUGCCUAGACUAAUAAUAGUCAAAAGCCUAUACAAAAGGUUUCAAUAUUUUACGUAAAGCAAAUUGUGAAAGUUUACAUGUCGCUUUCACAAUUUAAUAACUUGUCUUCUAUUAUUACUCCGCUGAUAUCUUCUCGUUGUCGUAUCUGCUGCUUUUCCAUAUCUCCAUUAUUUCUUUUUAUCUUGU